This is a long non-coding RNA of Hibiscus syriacus, 160 nucleotides long. RefSeq lists it as uncharacterized. Lineage: Eukaryota; Viridiplantae; Streptophyta; Magnoliopsida; Malvales; Malvaceae. The transcript has 3 exons. The record is from RefSeq and is a predicted model, not a curated record.
UUUUGAUUUAGACAAGAAAAUUUCUCCAGCACAAAACUAAAACUUAUGAUUGGUAUUGAGAAAUAUAUAAACAAUCUGAUUUAGACAUCUCAUCAAACAACUGAAAUAUACAAGAUUCUUAACGGAUUUAACGAAAAAGUUAAAUCAAAAGAAUCUUUGA